RNAcentral lists this ribosomal RNA (709 nucleotides) under uncultured Enterococcaceae bacterium. RNAcentral describes it as "bacterial SSU rRNA". It matches the Rfam family "Bacterial small subunit ribosomal RNA", at positions 77 to 771 of the family's 1533-position model. The record is from RNAcentral. Lineage: Bacteria; Bacillati; Bacillota; Bacilli; Lactobacillales; Enterococcaceae.
CUCAAUUGGAAAGAGGAGUAGGCGGACGGGUAGAGUAACACGUGGGUAACCUACCCAUCAGAGGGGGAUAACACUUGGAAACAGGUGCUAAUACCGCAUAACAGUUUAUGCCGCAUGGCAUAAGAGUGAAAGGCGCUUUCGGGUGUCGCUGAUGGAUGGACCCGCGGUGCAUUAGCUAGUUGGUGAGGUAACGGCUCACCAAGGCCACGAUGCAUAGCCGACCUGAGAGGGUGAUCGGCCACACUGGGACUGAGACACGGCCCAGACUCCUACGGGAGGCAGCAGUAGGGAAUCUUCGGCAAUGGACGAAAGUCUGACCGAGCAACGCCGCGUGAGUGAAGAAGGUUUUCGGAUCGUAAAACUCUGUUGUUAGAGAAGAACAAGGACGUUAGUAACUGAACGUCUCCUGACGGUAUCUAACCAGAAAGCCACGGCUAACUACGUGCCAGCAGCCGCGGUAAUACGUAGGUGGCAAGCGUUGUCCGGAUUUAUUGGGCGUAAAGCGAGCGCAGGCGGUUUCUUAAGUCUGAUGUGAAAGCCCCCGGCUCAACCGGGGAGGGUCAUUGGAAACUGGGAGACUUGAGUGCAGAAGAGGAGAGUGGAAUUCCAUGUGUAGCGGUGAAAUGCGUAGAUAUAUGGAGGAACACCAGUGGCGAAGGCGGCUCUCUGGUCUGUAACUGACGCUGAGGCUCGAAAGCGUGGGGAGCAA